UUUGAGGUAGGUUUCUUGAUAUAAAUCUAGACCAGUUCGUCAGAUUAUGUUUCAGGAAGUCAUAGGCAUGGUGUCUUUGGGGUGGCAGGAAAGCAAUGCUACAGUCUAGUGGCUGCAUCUCUAUUAGGAAAAGGGAGGAAGGCACUGCGUUGGAAUGUUUUCCCUAGCGAUUGACAUGAUUAUUUUUUCCAAUUUUUUCUAUGAAAUUAUCGCACUGAUGAAUUAUAAAAGAAUUAAAAAAUAGAGCUUCAUGGAAGUGCAGUAUAAUAUAAAAACGUCCGUAGUGCAGGAGAAUUCUGAAAGCUUCUGACGCGGAAAGUUUGAGUAAAUUUUCAAAGUUUUUUUGCCGGGAUCAUAUAUUCUGCCUUGAAUCAGGUAAUUUUUCUGGAACUUGUUAACUUAUAAAUUAACUCCCGCUAUUUAUUUGGUCCAAUUGAUUUUUUUUCUAUUUUUGGAAAAAUAGCACACUCUUAGUAUCAUAUAUCUACCUGCAUUCAAAAGUUUGGAUUAUAAUUAGAAAAAUCUGUCGGACCAUCAUUCUUUAUUUUUAUUUUUGCAUAUAUAGGUAAUUAGAAAAUUUGGCGUUCUUUUUUUGGUAUAAAAAAAUGGCAUUCAUAUAGUUCUCACAUAAGUACAGUCUACCAAGUUAAAAGAAAUAAAGUGAUACAAAGGGUAGGGUAUAUCUGCGACCCUGGUCUAAAUGAGCCCGCUGAAUGCCGGGCCACAAAGGAUGCGACUCAGUCUACCGCACUAUUCGCUUUCCGAUGCACAUAUGCUAUUUGGAAAGAGUCGGUCUCCCUGGCCAAACCACGGAUCUCGCGAAGCAGCGGGUGCCCCUCUCCAUCCGGAACCACACCCCAUAUCCCUGUCAACCACCGUAACAGAAUCCCCCUCUAGGAAUAUCCUGUCGGCUCGAAGGGCCCUCCUCGCAUAGGACAUACCCUCCCAAGCAACCUGCAGCUCCACCUCAAUGAUGUCCCGACCGGUGGUGCAUCUCCCUCCAGCUGCAAUCAGCCUAUCCAGAUGAUCUCUAAUCACAAAGCCCAUUCCUCCGUGUGUUCCAUCCACCGACCAGCUACCAUCGAAGCUCAAUUCGAGAUGACCAAGGGGUGGGGGUACCCAAGAGAAGAAGGUAAAUAUGCGCACUGUGACAGCAGAGCGGGUAUCCCAAAUGUCCCUGGUCAUCCUAGAAGUGAACACCAUAGUAGUCAUGAUGAUCUCCCUCGGAUGGCGGAAGGCCCUGCCCACCACUGUACUAGGCGAUGAUCCCUGGCCCUUAAACAUGCGGGCAUUUCUGUCUAACCAGAUGUGAUAAGCCAUGUAUGCCCUUAUGAUCCCCACCUCGACUAUAUCAGGUCUCCUCACGGACUCUCUCAGAUGGUGUAGCAAAUCCUCUGCUGACUCCAAAGCCUGGUGGAAAGGAACAAAGGAAUUCUCCCAAAUCUGCACUGUCCUGGGGCACACCAAGAUAGCGUGGCUGAUGGUCUCCUCAAUAUCUGGGCACACGUCACAGUACGGGGGAUCUGAACACCUCGUCCAACUAACAUCCUCCUAGUUGGUAAGCAACCCUAUGCCAACUUUCAGAUGAAGAGAGCAACACGAGGGUGUAUCAGCAUCCUCCAUAUCCAACCACCAUCCAUCUGUCGAUCCGGCUCCUCGGUCAUCAAAGCCUGAAUGUCCUUGGCCUACACCCUCGAUCUUCCAGUCGACAUCCAUACCAAUCUGUCAGCCUCCCUCUGUGACGGAAGGGGUAGGGCUAGAAUCCUCUCUACUAGCUGAUCCCCAAAAGCCUCCUGGAUCAGCCCCGCCCCAUCCACUCUCCCCAGGUUCGAUCAGAUCACUGACCCUAUGCUCUACUAGCCUGGCCGUGUCCAAGAAGGCCGGCAGUCUGCAUAAUAGCCACUUAGUCACCCAACUAUCCUCCAGGAUGUCGAUAGCCUGCCUAUCACCAAUCGCCCAUUUGAUUCCCGAAAGCACCACCAGGGCUCUGGCACACAUCUCCCUCCAAAUCGGAGACCAAUGAUGCUGAGCUCUAGUGGGCCUUGCCAGCGGCGAAACCCCAUACUUGGCCCUCAUCAAAGAUGCCCACAUACUGUCAGGCUCCAGAACAAACCUAGCUGCAUACCUCACCACUAGGACCUCUCGUCGCAUCACUAGUGAAGGUACUCCCAGUCCGCCAACCCUAGUUAGCUGACAUAAUACCUCCCAGGCUAUCAGGUAUAUGCCCCCUCUGCCUUCGCUCCUCCCUCAUAUGAAAUCUUUGAAUAUUCGCUCCAUGUUCCUCAGCGGUCUCAUAGGAGUGACUAAGUUGGAUAGCAAGUAGACCGGAAUCGAACUGGGCAUUGACCUCACUAGCGUGAUCCUACCCAUCAUGGAUAGGGCAUGCAUCUGCCACUCCUCAAGUUUGCGCUGAUGCUGAGUUCCAUGUAGGAGCAAUCCGAACUGCAAAGACGCUGCCCUAGGAUCAAGACGCCCAAGUAUCUCAACACACCUUCCUGCUCUCCAAUCCCCAAAAUGUCCAUGAUGUCUGCCUUCACCUAUGACUUGGUCCUUGGGCUAAAGCACACCACUAAUUUAGUCAAGCUUACUUGUUGCCCAGAUGCACCAUAGUAGUCCCAUAAAAUCCUCCUGAUCGUCCGUGCAGCCUACCUCGUCGCCCUAGCUAGCAGCAAGUAGUCAUCAACAAACAACAAAUGAGAGAUGGGAGGGGCAUCCUGCACUGGCCUGUAGACCUCCAAUACCUGAGAAUCCACUGCAUGGCGAAGGGCCCUGGAGAGCACAUCUGCACAAAUGAUAAAAAAGCAGUGGGGACAAGGGGCAAUCCUGGCGAAGCCCGCCCGAAGACUCAAAGAAGAUCGAUGGCGUAUCGUUCACCAAGAUUGAGAAGGAGGGGGUCUUGACGUAUUCCAUCACCCAUCUGAUCCAGAUCUUGUGGAAUUCGAAACCCUCCAGUGCUAUGAGGAAACUCCAACUCAUUCUAUCGUAAGCUAUCUCCAUGUCAAGCUUGAUCCCCAUCAAACUCCUCCUGAUCGGAGCCCUCCUGAGAUCAAACAUGAACUCCUGCAUAUAAGCACAUUAUCCAAUAUGCUUCGCCCACCCACAAAGGAUCCCUGCUCUGGGCUGAUGAUCCUCAAUAGAAUGCCUCUCAAUCAGGCUACCAUGAUCUUCGUCGUAACCUUGUACAAAGUGGUAUAUAGACUAAUCGACCUAAAAUAUCCCAGCUCUGUAGUAUCUUGCCGCUUCGGAAUCAGUAUGACGAAGGUUCUCUUCUAGUCCGAAGACAUCACUCUUGUGCUAAAAAACUGCUGAAUAGCCUCCGUCACAUCCUGCCUAACAAACAUCCAGUACCUCCGAAAAAACAUCGGUGGAAAGCCAUCCGGCCCCGAUGCCUUGUCCUCCUCAAGCGUCCUUUGCGGCUCACCACUCUGAAGGCUUCAUUUGGGCAGAUCAUGGGCCGUGUCAUAUUCGCUAUGUAGCAUUUUACUUUUUGAUUUUGUUAGCCGCAUUCACAUCCGUGGUAUGUGAAUCACCGUUGUACUAAAAAAAUAAUUAUUAUUUUAAAAAUUAAAUCUGCAAAAGCAUUAUACUUCAUUUAUAUAAGUCCAUGCAAUUAUUAUUUUUUAGAAAUUACUGUGUGGUUAAAAAAUUUUAAACGUUAUUGGGGUGAGAGAGGCUCGAACUCUCGACCUCAGGAUCACUCAACAGCUAUGAGACCUACGCGCUAGCCAACUGCGCCACCACCCCUUUGAGUGCUACUUCAGGAUUAUAAAUAGGAAGAAUCCAUUCCUAAACGCAAUACAGCCCAGCGCAAUCUAGUCCUCGCACGAACCUUUAAGAAGAGUAGGCAAUGCUAACGUCAUUUAGAAUUGAACCCCACCCUUUCUACCUGGCUGUACGAAACAAGCCAAGAUUCAGUAGUAAUUGGGCACCACCAUCCGAUGAUGCACCGGAGGAUAGAGGCAAACUUCAUACAGAUGAUAAUUGUUAGUACUAAAGGGCCCAUGCACCGUCCUAGGGACUCAGGGAUGACCGUGUUGUUGUGCUAUAGACGUACGUGAAAGUAGCUAUUUUUUUUUGGGUGGCUGAUGGGGAACCAGUGUAGCGCAAUCUUGGUCCCCAUGCAAACUUUUGAGAAUGUUGAUCUGGAAAAAGAACGGGUAGGAAAGAUUUGACAUGAAGGUUUUCACAAAAAUAUACUGAUAGAUUAAAGAUAAUACAAUUUUGCUCUAUUUCCCUGCUCGUGAAAAGAAGGAUUCAUAUAUAUAUAAUGAGAUCAAAGCAAGGCUGACGCCCUCCAGGAUCGAACUCACCCUUUCUACUCGGCCAUAUGAUUCGAUCCAAGAUUUGGUGGUAAUUGGCUAAAUUCUUUACCAUGCAACAAUAUUGUGAUUGGCUUAAUUUGCACAUGAAUGCCGAAGCUCAAGCCUAUUCUUUUGCUUUUCCAUUUUUUUCAAGGUAACUGGAAGGAAAAAGCGCAAGAACUUUGAUAUCCAUGAUGACAAGGAUAGUAAUCAAUUACUAAAUAUUCUGUUGCAAGAUCCUGGACCCCCUUCUUCAAUCCGAGAAAUACAUGGGUGGGCAUGGGAAAAUUCCAGAGAUCACUAGCCCAAAGUCAUUUCACUUCCUUCGAGGUCAUGCUAUAUAGAUGGGCAUCACUUUUGGAAACAAGUUUCUUGUGAACAAGACUCCAUCGUUUCCACGUCUCAGUGUUUCCAACAUUAUUCCAAAGUCAGGUUCCAUGAGAUUAGCUGCUCACUAGGCAAAAAUCAUAUUCCAAAUUCCUUAUAACAAAGAAUUAAGUGACUAUUCACAUUGUUGCCGCAUAAGCAUACUGCUCAAUCACAUUAUUUGAAUCGAUGGGAAAUCGUUUCGGUUCUUUUUCCACAUAGCACACAUUCAUUCUUUCUUAGCAAGAAUCUUUUCUGUGUGCAGUCGAUUCUUGAGCGCAAUUCAUAUAAAAAUACUCACUUUUUUUGGUAAAGCCGCCUUCCACAGGCUCUUAUAAAAAUAACAGCGAAGAUUGUCAUUAUUAAACAAAUUAUAGAAAGAGUUCACUGUAAAACAAUCUCCUUAUGAGAGUUUUCACAUUGGGACAUCACCAAUUCGAGAUGGUCUUAUAUAAGAGAGAGCUUUUUUUAAGAUAUAUAAUUGAUCCAUCUGUUGUCUUGCAAGAAGUUUUUUUUUUUACUUUCUAAGAAAGUAUUUUUCAUGACUACUACAAAGCAACCAUGCGGACCUACCUCACUACAUUGCCGGCCUUUCAUUAUAUAUGUGGGCCGUCUGAUGUAGGUUCACUCUUGCGGUGCAUUGUUGGUGGGGUAUAACUUUCUAUUUAAGUAGAGCUUGUCGUAGGUUGUUUCACCUGUCUCAAGCCUGAACUAUAUUAAUAGUUAGCCGAGCUCCGAGCCAAAUCUAUUUAAACUUUAAUAUUUUAUGUACCUAAGUCCGACCGAUGAUCAGCUCGCUGUCAUCGGAGGGUCAAUUCGGGACGAGAGUUCCGGCGGCGCCUGCACGUUUGAAUAUUCUGCCAGGCUUUUAGGCUCUCUCCAGUCUCCACGCCAAACAGACCCCCGCUCUUUCCUCUCUUCUUCGUUUUGUUCGUCGUCCAUUCUUGCGGGUUGACAUCCCUCUGUUUCACGCGACGACCAAUGGAGGAACCCGAGAGGAACCCUACGGGGAAGAGCACAGAGAUGACCGUGAUCCGGUCCACUAACCAUUCGACAGCCCACGCGCUAACGGCCAUGCUCAUUUGGCUCAGCUCCAUCCAUCUUAACAUUCUCCUCUUCCUCCUGCUCGUCAUCUUCUGCCGCACCACCAUUGUUUUCUUGUGAGCUCCAAUGCCUUCCAUCUUCUUUUCUUCUUCUUCUUCUUCUUCUUCUUCUUUUUAUAUGUAUAUUAAUGUGAGCUCCAAUGCCUUUCAUCUUCUUUUCCUCUUCUUUUUCUCUUUUUUUUUUAUAUUAAUGUGAGCUUCAUUGCCUUUCAUCUUCUUUUCUUCUUCUUUUUAUAUUAGUGUGAGCUCCAAUGCCUUUCAUAUUAUUUUCUUCUUGUCUUCCCCCUUUUUCUUAUAUCAAUGCUGUUUUUAUUUGUUUCAUAUUAGUUAAAAUCGGGGAAGAAAUUGAAAUUUUCUCUAUUUAAUUAAGGAUACUAGGGUUGAUUGUCCUGUUAUUGAUAGUUCCUGUGGACGAUAACAGCAAGCUCGGGCAAGCUUAUGCGAGGUGAUCUCUCCUUUCUUUCUUUUCUUUCAAAUUUGUUUUCUUGUUGCAUUAGAGAUACUAAUAUUAUGUGAGGUCGAACGUUUUAAAAAUAAUAAUAAUAUUUUUUUGGUAGCAGGUAUGUUGGCAAGUAUGCACCCGGCUACUUCCCUGUUACGGUUCAUAUGGAGGACGCCAGGGCAUUUGAUCAGAACAAGGCAUAUGGUGAAGUUGAUUAUUUUUUCCAAAUUGCAGAAGCUAUACGUUUAUUUGCAUAUACUUUGCAUCAGGGGAGAGGAAGAGGAAAAAAAAAGAUAACGUUUUAUGGUGUAUCAUUUUGGAUUUUUACAGCAUGCUUUUAUUUACCCCUAUAAUACGAUGAUUUCUAUCUAGCUGCUUUAUGUAAUUGAAAUUUACAUUAAAUAAGAACUUUAGGAUUCCGUAGUUUACAUGCCUAUAAAUUAUUUUGGCAGCAAGAUUUUAUGUAAAACUAGAAUUUAUAAAAUAUAAUUAUAUUAUUACAUAGGAAAUCAGAUGAUGUUAGGUCAUAUCCAAGUUGGUUUCUCGCAUCAAAGAGCUCUCAUAAUGAAAGAGUGAUGCUGUCAUAAUUUUGGUAUUGUGCUCUCUAUAAUGUAGUCCUUGCUGCUGAGCCACACUCAGUAUUUCCCAUCGGAUGUCUAUCUCUUUUGAGCUUUACUGGAUUGAUGCCUCUGUCUAAGACUAAAGCUCUUGCGAGCACUGCUGUAAGUUUUCAUGCUGCAGUUCCUUGCUUUCAUUUCUGUUCUUCUAUGUUCUUCUUGGAACGUUGUAAAAUCCAAAGCAAGUGGUGGCAAAAUUGAAGCUUUGCAUGUUCUGGAAAAUAGCUUAAUAUUUUGUUCAGAUGUUCUGUACGCCCUUCCUCAGGCAAAUGUCAACAUGGAUGGGACUCGUCCCUGCUACAAAGAAGAACUUCAUCAGGUACCUGGAAGCUGGUUAUAGCUGCAUAAUCAUUCCAGGAGGAGUCCAAGAAAUCAUUUAUAUGAACCAUAAUUAUGAGGUCUGUGGAAUUCCAGGCCACGGGCUAUCGACUUAGCUCAAAUUUAUUACUCUAUGUGCCCAAAGGCAGAAUUUUUGCAUUGUUUUCUCAAAUGAACUGAAUGAGUUAUGCACACCGAAGAUAAAUUAGCAUGCGGCAUGUUAUUAACAGGUUGCGUUUCUGAAACGAAGGCGCGGCUUUGUACAAGUUGCUAUUGAAACAGGCUCUCCUUUAGUCCCUGUCUUCUGCUUUGGUCAGGUUAGAUGGAUUUCAUUGUUUUGCUCUUUAUUUCCAUACAAUAUCUAGCAUUCAUUUGAUCCAUAUUGCUUUAUCUUGAAAUUCGUUCUUUGCAGACUAACGUGUAUAAAUGGUGGAAACCUCAAGGGAAAUUUUAUAUUCAUGUUGCUAGAGCAAUCCGUUUUGCACCGUUAAUAUUUUGGGGAGCCUUUGGGUAUAUCUCUAACUGAAUUAUAUGCAUUUAAACAAUAGAAGUUGCAGGAUAUGCUUUUGAUUUCGAAAAGAAUUGCUUGUUGAUUGACUUCUUGGAACAUAUCUUUUAUUCUACUUAAAUGUUACAUGAACCAAAGUUCAUUAUUAAUUUCCUUAUCAGGUUAUCAGUUUCCACACAUGAACUUGCAAUAAUCCUUUUAUCUGUUAUCUCUCAUCAGUUUCUUCUUGCUCUCUCUCUCUCUCUCUCUCUCUGUGUGUGUGUGUCUCUGGCGCGUAUUCUAUUUUUUCUAUGCCUUAAUCUGUGCUUUUGUCUUUGUAUAAUGGCUGAGAUUGCCAAGUCAUUUCUUUCAUUGGAUUUUUCAUGGGCAGCUUGAUUUAUUUUAAACCAGUUUUACCUCUGGAUCUGGAGAUCCAUUUCUCCUUGUAUUGGUAAUGGGUUUCCUCUCUCAAGAACUCUUACCUUGCUUUAGUUUAAGUCAGAAUCUGGCAGAUGUCCACUUUUCACUCAAAAAGUUUGUGCUUUUGCGAGUUUAUAUCACGUGGAGGUGCCUUUUCAAUUUCUCUGGUUCCUAUAUUCUUUCUAUGGCCACCUGUCUUCAUCCUUGCAUUUUGAGUGUAUCUAUCUUCUCAAAUUCAUUUUAGACGCUCCUUGAUGUCUAUUUGAUGUUUGGGUGUUGCUUUCUCUAUUGGUUCAUUGUUUUGACCUCAUGAUAACCAUCAUCACUGCAAACAUCAAAUGCACCUACCUUCCUUUCCUAAGUAUUCAUAUCACUAGUGCAAGCAUUAGGUUUGGUUCGUCUUUAAUUUCCACUUGUCUCAAAUGACCAAAGACCAUUAGUUUCACAACACUGGACAUGGCUCCUAUGGUCUCUAAGCCCUAAUUUUCCUUCAUUUUUCUAAUCCAAUGUGGAGUUAGAUGGGCCAAAGAAUCAUGAAAAUCUAAGUACACAUGUUCAUGCUUCUAAUAAUCCUUAGAUGUUAAAUGUCGUACUUGUGAAAGGAAGACCUACCUCUCUUGGCCAUCACAUGGAGGAACUUCAGGCUGCAAAGCCAGGGCCAUCAGCCUUCACAACAGAGUAUGUAAUGAUCCCCAACAUGGUAUCAUCAAUUGUAGUACUUAAUGUGCAUGCAUCCAUAAUUUGACCCUAUCCUAGGCCAUCUUCUUUAUCUUGUCUAUAUUUUGAGACUAUCCUAUUACAGAUAGUUGCUGAUCUCACCUACCAAUGCAAUUGGACUGGUUUUUGUAUGACUAUAACCAAAACAGACCUGUCCUAUAGCUGCUCUUGCUCUGCUCAAGGUUCUCAUGAUUCCACAUUGUUCUGAUCCCAUUGCUGUGUUCCACCCAGUCAAUGCCAUCUCAGUUGUUUGUUAGUUUCAUUCAAAGAUCUAUAUGCAGUCAUCUCCUUGCCCUUGCUCCUUUUGGCGUUUUUGCUGUGAUUACCAAGGCCGUCUCAAUGGUGUGUAUGAAUACCUAAAUAUAAUGUCUGUCUUGUGCUGUGCCAUCUAUGGAAGUAAAGAAGUCCCUCAUGUCUGUUUCUAGUAUUUCCAUAUUGCAUUCUUUCUGUUAAAUAUAGCUUCAGAUAAUUAUCUCUUGAAAAAAUUCAGACAUUUAUCACAAUUAGAACCUCAUUCCUAACUACUCCUCCAUCAAUAUCACCAUGUAAUUAAUAUAUCUAGGUGAUCGAUUCAGUCUUCAUGAUGUCGCCCUUGUUACCCAUCCAAAGCAAACCUCUAGCAUUCCUUGACAUUAAGGACCUUGGAAUCUUCACCAUGUCCUUUGUUCUUAUUCUUGCUUGUUUCUCAAGAUACAUGUUGCAAGGAAAAAUAAAACCAACUUGAUUAAAUGUGACUGUCGAGCUGAUAAAAGCAAUCUGAUGGAGAAUUUAAAUAAAAGCUUUUUUCUUAGUGAUGGUAAGUUACUUCAGUUUUAUCCCUUUUUUGGCUAGUUACUCCAGUUUUAUCAGUGUCAUUACUUUAUGGUAGUAUUUUAAGCAACUCCUAGCCCAAUAUCACAGAAAUUGUUGAUUUGCUGAGUUAGCUUGCCAUGUCAUUCAUUUAAUUCCUAUGUGGCCCUAUUUCAUGAUUUUGAAUACCUUUGUCGGACCAGCACUCUCCUCUUCUCUUUUACCCUCCUCUUGUGAUUAUGAGCUCACACUAAUGCUAGUCUUGUUGGAAAUCCUACUAAUUAAUGCUUUAGUAUGGGAUCUUUUAUCUCCCUUGGAUAUUGGCAUAUUUAUGCUUUCACUUCCUGAGGUCCAUUCUAUUAAGUGAUUUGUGGACUGUGAUUUGUAUUACACAAACUCAUGGUCCACAUCCAGCGAUGGUUCAGGAGCAAGGUGCAGAUGUAUUGGACUUUUUUGUUGGGAAUUUUAAACAUAAAGAUGAGACUGCAAGCAUGCCAGUUGUAUCUUUUAAAGGAUGUUAAUUGAGGGACUACAUGAUAGAUUCAAGUGAGAAGAACAAGAGAAGCCAAGCAUCUGGAAAUGUGCAAUACUCUUUAAGAUAUGGCUCAUGGUAGAUAUAAACAUACAAGGAAUAUGGUUACCAUCGUGAGAAUACCAUAAGACCGUAAGAAGGAGAUAUACAAUACACAGACUGCAUAUGUACACUCUAACACCUCCCUCAAACUCACGGUGGAUCAUAGUUUGAGAGUUUGCUAAGAAGGAUAGAGAAUCUUGGCAUGGUAUGUGACUUCGCAAAGAAGUCCUCAAUCUGCUGUUUAGAAAAGACAUAUGAUAGAGACUAGAGAGAGUGUCCCAGCAAUGUAAUGAUGUCGAGCGAAAUGGUAACCAAUUUCAAUAUACUUGGUAUGCUCAUGAAACACCGGACUGGCAGCUAUCUAAACAGCACUUUGAUUGUCAUAAUAAAGAAGGGUAGGUAGGCAUGUCAAUGAUAAACCCCAUAUCAGCAAGCAAGCAUUUUUGCAACUAAACAACCUCUGCAGUGAUGCCAACCAUGGCUCGAUACUCUGUAGCGACACUCGAGCGAGAGACGGUGUCCUAUUUCUUAGCCUUCUAAAUUAUAAAUCUCUAAGGAAGAGACAGUAGCUAGUAAGGGAGUGAGGAUUAGUAAAAUCACUAGCCAAAUCAGUAUCAGAAUAUGUCCAAAAUUGAAGCAAAGAAGAGAGGGAAGAAAUACGCUCCAAGGAAUAAAAAUUCGGUUAAGCUCUUCUGGCUGAAUCCAACUCUGGGCCUGCCCUUUUGCUAGCUUUUUCAUUAUGCUGGUUCAACUACUGCUUAUGCUGGAAAUCUCUCCAUCUUAGCAAAUUCAUUCCUCGGUGCCAUGCAAAUAGGGAGUAAUGUGAAGUACUGUAGAAUAGGGAACCGUUCGUGGAGUGACUACUAAUUGACUGACCAUAUGGACAAUAUAAGCAAUAUCUAGUCAAGAAAUAGUUAGAAUGAACUCCCAAUAAGCUAAAGAUAGCGAGUAGGAUCAAGCAAGGGGUUCACCAUCAUCUGGACGAAGCUCCAACUGAAGCUCAAUAGAGGUAGGCUAGGUCCAAGAGUCUCAAGCGAGCGCAAGCAAUAAUAUCCUCAUUGUGCUUUCUCUGAGAGAACAGAUAAUCUUGAGGACUAUAUUCAACCUUUAGCCCCAGAAAAUAAAUAGCAAAGAGAAUCAAGAUCUUUCAUUUCAGUGUUGUUGAAGAAACUCCUUGACAUACUAGAUAAACUAAAGUGUUUGCUCUAGUAACAAACAUAUCAUCUACAAAGGUCCAGCCAUGGAAGGAGGAAUGGACAAACGUGGAGUAAUCAUUUGAACUUUGUACAUUUUACAAAACCAAAUGAGAUGAUCGCCUGGCUUAGCUUCUCAAACCAGGCCCCUGCCUGAGUCCAUACACAGAUCGUGGAAGAUGAGAAACAUGUCGAGGAGGAUGUGAAAGCCCAGGAAGAGGAAGUAUGUAUACCUCCUAAUGAAGAUCACCAUGAAGACAAGCAUUCUUUAUGUCUAGCUGAUACCGACAAAGUACAGCAAUUGCAAUCAGUAGUGAUCUUGGUGAUAGGAGCAAAAUUCUCCUUGUAGUCAACUCCAUGCUUUCUAAGUAAAGCCACGAGCCACUAAUCAAGCCUUGUAUCACUUUAUGGAACCAUGUGAAUGAGUUUUCAUGUAAUAGAUCCACUUGCAAGAGAUAGGAUCUUUCCUAGGUGGGAGAGGAACAGGACAUGUUUAUGCACACGCAGGGGCAGCCAACUCAACCAUAGCCUGCUUCUAUGGAGGAAGUUGAAUAGGCUCCUAGUAUUUUUGUGCCCCAUGAUAACUAUGUAUGGCUGCUAAAAAAACACUGAAAACCGAGCAAGUAAGUGUCUAUAGUUGUAGAAUGAUAAUCUCGAAGAUACUUUGGCACAUGAUGGUUGUGAGAGGGAUCAAAACACUCAGAAAAGAGGAGCAGGAUCAUCCACUGUAGAGGGGAUGGCAGGGUAUGCACACUCUAUUAGAUGUACAUAUGUAGGCAUGGACAUAUAGCAGGAUCAUCAACCAUAGAGGGGAUGGCAGGGUAUGCUCACAAGAGAUAGACUGCAUGAGUACACUCAAAAACUGCCCACACACAUUCAAAUGCAUUUGAAGCACAUCUGCACUUGUAUGUAUUCAGACAAAAACGUAUUUGCAAGUUUAUCUUUUCUUGUGUGGUCAUGUAUACAUCUAUUUUUGUGUAGGAGUGCCAUAGUUUCAAUAGAAAAGAAUUUUGAAUAUCAAAAUAAAUGCCAGACACUCUGUUACUUCUUCACUUUAUAUUGUUUAGGUAAAUCCACUGAUGUAUGUAUAAUUUAUUAUUAAUUUAUUAUUAGUUGGACCUGCAGCCUCAAAGCUCAAUAUAGUCAAGAAAGCCCUUACAUGAUAUAGUAUUGAACUUGAUGCCUACUGCUGUAAGUUCCAUCCUCAUGUAAAAAUAUGACAUGGGUAGGAUUUGAUCAUACUUGAAGAGCCAAUGAAUUUCAUGAACUAUCAUUCAGUGCCCAAAAAGCCUUGUAGGAAUGUCAUACAUCACAAACAUGGAGCUCUAUGCAAUAUAAUAUAAAGCAUAUUUAUGGAUUACUGAAAAAUAUUUCUUAUUUGUAUAAAGCUGGCAAUAAGCAGCGAUGUACAUAUAUUUUCUAUGAAGCAUAUUCUGUGAGCUGAAAAAGUACCUGAUUUGCUAUAAAAUACUUCCUAAAAUUUUGAUCUUAUUUUUUAUUUUUUAAUUUUUGUGUUGCAUUUGAAUAUGUUUCUUGGUCCAAGGGCUUAAAGAUGAGACUCUGUUUGUUUUCUCCUGAAUAGGAGAAGGUUAUAAGAAAUCUAACUUGCUGGUAUCUUUGUGCCUGUACAGAUCACCAAUCCCAUAUCGCAAGCCAAUAGACAUUAUAGUCGGAAGACCAAUUGAGAUCAGGCAAAAUUUGAACCCCUCAAGAGAAGAGGUAAAUUUUUGAAUGAUUUAAGUUCUGAUUUUCUAAAUAUCUGUAUAUGAAAAUUUGGAAGGUAUACAGCUAACCCAGCUAGUUUGGGUGACCAGAAAAAUUGAAUAUAUAUUAUAUUUUUGGACUCUAUGAACAAAUUAUUCUGUCAAGUUGGCAUGCUGUGAACCACAAGUACUGGAGUAUAAAAUUUAUCAGCUGGAUCUUUGGCAGGAUAAGCUAAGAACUGGCCAUAUUUUAGUACUUUGUUUACAUUCUGACCUUUGCAUGGUAGGCAUGACUUAACAUUCUGUUGGACAAAAUGUCGGUUUGAUUGUUAUUAAUGCGCUAAAAUAUAGUAGUUUGUUGAAGCAACUGAUUAUAACUUCUAAUAUUAUGAAGCAGCUCAGAUUUGCAAGCCUAUGCAUCAUCAUCAGUUUGUGGUGAGCACUAGCAAGAUCAAUCUGAACAUGUUUUUAUGGUAUUUAGAAACUUCUGCCCAGUUUUACUGCCCCUACUUAAUAAGGAGGAUUAGAAAGAACUAAUAGAUUCAAAGGGGUCACAUGGCUGUGUACCACUAUUUUUAUUCAUCGAGAAAUUUAUAUCAAAUUUAUUUUGAAAAAAGUAUUAGUUGGAUUACACACUUUGAGCCUGAAGCCUGUUACUUGUUUUAAUUCUAAGGUAGCCUUUUGGUUAUGUCUCACGCUUCUACUCCCGAUUAAUUCAAUUUUGACUUAUCUGAAAACAAUAUAUCCCUAGCUUAGGUAGCCAGAGUCCAUAUCACCAUUAAAAAUGACUAUUCAAAUGUACUAGAGCAACUUUAUGCUCGGUUGAAGAUAAUUCAGUUCAUAUGCUGGAAUGAGCUUGGCUAAAUCAGUCUAUGCCAAUACUAACACCUCAUGGUUUCAUCAUAUAUGUUAUAUGAUGUCUUAUACGAUUGACAAUAUUGAUGUCUCACUUUUCUCUUGAAUUAUUUACAGGUUGCAGAAGUCCAUGCCCGCUUUGUAUCCGCUAUUGAGAAAUUAUUUGUGAGGUACAGAGAGGUCACAGGACUUAAUAACAUUGAACUGAAAAUUGUUUAAGCAAUCUUCUUUUUGUUGAUUUUCGUUAGGAAUAUUGAAAAGUGAAAAAAAUAAAAAUUCUAGCUGAUGUUACAAAAUCUACUGUUCUUCUGCAUCAAUAUAAUUCAGUUGUACAGUAAGGCUCUAAUCUCCUUUUCUUCUGUUGAUUGCAUUCCUAAGACAUGGAGCGAUGGAAAAGCAGAUUGAACUUUUUAUUGAACUUUUUCAAGUGGUCGCUUCUGAGUACAGCAGCUCCAUUUAUAUAUGGAAGUUUGACAGUAUUCUCUGAUACAAAUUCUUUAGGUUGUUAGUCCCUUACCUUGUCAUAUCGAUUUAAAUCAGCAUUGUUUUUAGGAAGGUCUCCUUUAUAAUUUCUAUUCGAGCUAUUCUUCAAGAGAACCAUUAUUAGCUUGCAGAUAUCUUCCCACUUUUAUAGAAAUACAAUUUUUAAUUCUCAAUACUGAUGCUAUUACACAGACUGCAGUAUCGCGAGGUAUUGAGCUCACAUGAGAAUUUUUUAGGCCAAUCAUAAGCCCUUCUAUAUGUUACUAAAUCAUUUCUGUGGUUACAUCUGUAAGCAUGCUAUUGUUGUCUAUAUAUUUAUAUUGUUUUUAGUUAAGGCCCAAUCAUGGAAAGCACUUAAUUGUAGUUUUAUGGUACUCUCAAGUUUCAACUUGUAAAAUAAGGGUAGUUUAUGGUUUUUAGUAUAUAUCAUCGAUAAAUAUUCUGACAAAUAGAUGUAUGAUAUGUUCAUCGUUUUUGGGCAAGAGAUCGGGUCUGAUUCCAAUCCCACCUUAUGGUAGUAUAAAAUACUUUUGCUCAGAUGUAAUCAUAUGCAAGCUUUAAAUAUUAAAAGCAUCACGUUUCUUUUUUUGGUUAAGAUGUACAAAAUCUUAUUUAUUUAGUUUUAUUAUGGGCAAAAGAAAUAAAAGUUUGCGCUAGAAAUUUACAUUUGAUUUGGAUCUCUAACAUAUAUAAUUUCUAGUUCUAUUAAUUUGCUUAGCCAUAAGAAAAUUCUGUACUUAUUUAAGUUUUUCAAGUUAUAAAAAUCUUUAACAUUUUUUUGCAUAAAUACUAUCUUCUUAAUUUGCACAUUAAUUCCCCAGAUUUUUAUAUUUGCAUACCAACCGCCAAAAUUAUACCUAUUAGACAUAUUAGCCUUUCAAUUUGUUGGUAGAGUUAUAAACACAGUUUUUUCUUUUUCCUUCUAAAUCAAAGCUUUUCCUCUAUUUUCUCCCACCUAUUUCUUAUCUUCCAUAGCUCGAGGGAAUGAUGUAAUAUUUGGUUUGCGCUCCAAGAAAUCGAAAUUUUAAAAUUAUUUGACUAUAUAAAGCUUCAAGAUAUAAGAUAAUGAUGCACAAUGAUUUUUCUUUAUGAUAUCUCAAGUAUAUCUAUAUGUAUUUUGAAAAGGGUAGUUUGUAAAUUUGAAAAUUAUUUACUUGGAUGAAAUUAAAUUUUUUAAUGAAAAUUCAAGUUCAAGUUGGCUCUCUUCAGUUUUUUCUAAAAAAAUUUAGCAAUUUUAUAUUUAAUUUUAAGUUACUAUUUUUUGGAUAUAAAAUAAUAGCUAGCUGUCUGAUUGAACUGCAAACUGACCCAAUCCGGUCUUAAACCUAUGCCUAAACAUUUUGAAUUGGAUCUACAUUAUAUUUGACCCCAACCUGACCUUUCCUUAAUUUCAACCCAACUCAACCCAAGUAGCUAUAGGUUAAGUUCGGGUCUUAAAUCAUGACCCAAAUAUGAAUUAGGUUGAAUCGAGAUUAACUGUGCCAUCAAAGAGUUGUACCUGCAACAACCACAAGCAACCCAAUUGCUACACCGAUUGUCUCCCUUCACUUGUGGAACUAGUUAUGUGAAUUGAACCGACUUAAAAUUUUACCUUUUUUCUUUCCAUGGCAGGAAAUUGAAAAAAUAACCAUGUCAAGGCAGCAAGCAAGUUGACUUGAUCGAGAUAGGCACAACCCAAAUCCAAUCUAUAUUUUAUUGAAAUCCAAAAAUAAAAUGAAACUUAGACCUAAUCUAGUUCCCUUUGAACUUGAUUAGAUUGCAUAUAGUAUUAGUUUUAUCAAUCCGGAGAAUUUUUUUGAGUCAAAUACAUAUCAUUAUUAAAAUACAUAAAAUAAUUACUUAAUUAUAUUAUAAAUAUAAUAAUAACAAUAAAAUAAUAGUAAAUAAUAUAUAUAUAUAACAUACAUAAGAUUCUUUUUACAACUACCUUAGUAUUGUAGACAAUUAUUGAUAGAACAUAUUACUGAAACUCUAUCAUUCUUUAUCGAGCACACUCAACUGAAACUCCUCUCUUUACAAAAAAAGACACGAGAAGCUGGUGCUAUGAGCCGGGGAAAGGAGUGGUUCAGGAAGCAGCACUCUUAGCUAAAAAGGAUAGGAGUUCGGUGUAACCAUUUCCUUCAAACAUUGGCUUCAGAAUCAGCCUCUCCUGCACUCCACAAGCCAAGUGCCAGCAUUAACUUGGUGCAAUCUCAUCAAGCUGGCAAAAAGCCAUAACAACGUAAGAAAGAUGAUCUAAAAGAUGUGAUGCUACUUUCCUAACUUACAAAUGUGGAGAUGCGAACACAAUUUUAACUUCUCACUACAGUCCCAAACUGUCAUUGCAAAUCCACUUACUGAACAGCUUACGCAAGCCAUCGAACACAACAUUUAUCACUUCAAAAUACCCUCCGCUGUGGUUUUAGCUAGAAACCCUGAGUAGGCUUUCCACUCGGGGGUUACUCCAAAGAAGGCUCUUUUUAGCUCAAUGUCUUUGUAAUAAUCCAAUUACAGUUUAAAAUUUUACCAUAGAUCAAACGAGAUGCUACAAUUGGAAGUUCAAAGAUGAUUGUCAUUUCACCAAUCAAAACACAGACGAUUCUCAUGAAAUCCUGCCUAUUUCAAAAUCUACCCUUCAGCUAUGCAUUCAUUACGAUGCACAUACAAGGGACGUUGGAUCGGCAACUAAGUACAUGUUAAGAGAAAAAUAACCAUCCAUCUCUAUGUUUUUUUUUUUGGGUACUUUUGUGCUAUGAAGAUGAUAAAUUCAUACCAUAUUAUUAAAGGAGAGAGGAAUAUACCAUUUUAAAUUUGAUCUAUCUAAAUUUUUAUUAGAAUACCCUUAGCUCCUCAUAUCUGACAAAAAAAAAAAAAAGAUUAAAAUAUUAGAUAUAUAAUCUAUGUGCACCUUAACUUAUUCCUUUGUCUCUAUUUCUUAUAUACGCAAGUCUUUCAGGAUAUCCUAAAUUAGUUAGAUUUUAUUAGUUUAAAACAGAAAUAUCUAUCCAUCUUUAUUCCACAUUCCCAACUAGACUUUUUUAGAAUUUAAAAUAAACAAAAAUAUCCAUACUUUUUAUCUAAUCCAUGGAGUUUAUCUUUCUCAUCUCUCAAAUGUUCCAACUUUUUAUUAACUUAUUUUUAGUGUAGGCCAUGUUCCUCGCCAGUAACAAUCAAAACCAUCAUUAACAACAGAUUUAAACAAAAAAAAAACUAAAGAAGAUUUCUGUUAUAUUUGGAGAUCCACGACAUAAAUUAAUUAAUGCCUUGAGUGCAAGCAUGCUACCAUUGUAGAUUUUCCAAAUAUACUCAAUGGCGAGAUUUAGUGCCGAAAGAAUGAAAAGUUUAUUAGAUGUAUAUACAAGCAACAAAGUCAUUUUGAUCACUCGUCACACUAGAACUUAUUUGAAAAAUGAAUAUGGACGAAACCUCAAUCACAUUAUGAAAACGUAAAAAAGUUGAUAAAAGAUACCAAAGCAUCGUACACAUCAAAAUACACAUGAAAAAACAAUCAUCCUCUCGCAAAGUACAGAUGGAUAAAACGUGACUACAUACAACAAUAUUUAAGCGAGGAAAAAGAGACCAAAGUAUCAAGCUAAUCAAAACAAGCCAUCCUCUCGCCAUAGUCCAAGCAUUUGAUUGUCAGACACAGCAUUGAGCCAUUCAUCGGCUUAUUUAAAAAAAUCAGUGCAAAUAAGAUUUUUUUCUCCAAAAAGUUCAAAUUUCUUGACUCAGCGAAAUGUCACACAUCAUCCUGCAUAAUCCGUGAAUACUUCAUACUACAAAAACUGAUCUAAAAUUCUGAAAUCCUUCUUAUGAAUGUCCUGUAUGAACUUCCUGAGCUUCUGGAGACAUUUUAGAACAGCUGGUCAUGUGGUCUUAUUCUGGUUCGUAUUUAUAACAUUCUUGAAAACCACAAAUAUAAUAAUAUCAAUGUCUUUCAUUUCAUAUCAGGCUAUGAUCCAUACAUGCCAGCCUUUAUGCCCAUAGCAUUAUUACGGUGAAAUGCAUAGCAGAUCCAUUAUUUAUAAUAUCACUACUAUGCUACCCUAAUUCUGGUCACAAUGCUAGUUUUAACACGCAUUCUCUCUCUCAGCUUUGUAAGCUUAGUUUUUAGAGGCUUCACUUCUUGACGUACACUCUCCUCUUCAGGCAAAAAGCCUUCAAGAUCCCUUCAGUUAAUUAUAGAAAGAGAAAGAUUAACAUACAUUAAUCAAAAGCAAGAAUAUGCUUAUCACCUUUGAUAGAUGAGAAGUCUAGUGGUAAAAGAAAUCUUGAUGCAAUGAGUAACUAACGAGCCAUCAUAUACUCACCUAUUGAUUUGUCACAUACAUUGCCCAUGUCAUGCAUUACUUUUCUAUAAAACAAAAAUGAUUGUGUUUAUAAUUGUAUUCAUCAAAUGAAACAAUCCAUCACAGCCAACUUGAGUAAUUGAUGUGUCAUUACACCCGAGGCUAAUAAUUUGUUAGCAUAUGUCUCUAAAAUUGAUUAAAAAUUAAUAUGCUUUUGAACUUACAUACAUGCAAUAACAAGUUAUAAAAAUAACGCAAUGCCCAUUUCCACAUAAGCACGUACCUUUUCCCCUACUGAUCUGUCCAGCCCUCUCUUAAGAAGACUUGCCAUCCCCAAUUAUCUUUAGUCCUUCUUUAUUACUCACUACUACGAUAAGCUUCCAAUGAUACGUAGCUCUGCAAAGAUAUUGUAGCACUCGCUGCUACAAUCACUUAGCAACAAUACAUUGUAUUAUGAGCAUUAUUUUGGUGUUCUCAUUUCAAAAUUCUUUUAUGAUACAACUGCCUCUUGCCCCAGUAUAUCAUAGUGAAAACUAGGUUUAUUUUCAAAUCACAUUGCCUAUUGUUUUUUGUAAAAAAAAAAACCACAAUAUCUACAGUCUUGAAGACAAUAUUUUGCUAAAAUUUUAACCAGUGAAGGAAAACAAAAAAAAAACUAAAGGAAUAAAUGCAUAAUUAUAAGAAAUAUUGACACUAAUUAACAUCUAUAACCUCAUUUGAAAUCUUAAUACCAUUUUUUUUAAUAUAAAAGAAAAUGAACCUUCUCUUGUUGCACUUGUAGAUAGGAAGCUGGGAGGGUAAGGUUUUUGGUUCAGAUCAGACCAGUUAGUCCUCAAGAAAGACACCCAACAAAACAUGUUUAUCAUUAAAUCAAGCAGAAAUGAGCAACAUAGAUGAGAGACGAAGCAAAAGAAUGACUAACCUUUGGUGGAAGUUUGGCGCAUGACAAGGGGAGAUGAUUGUUGGAGAAAGGUACAUUGGACUUGAAUUUGAAACAAAGAGCAAUGGAAAAUAGGAGCGACAGGGCCUCCCUUGAGUCAUGAAUAUUGUCAGUCGGUACAAUCUAAUUUAUUCUGAAUGUGUAGUCUUGGCCCAAUCCACACCAAUAGGACCACAGACCAAUGUCAAAGAAUAGGUCAACUAUUAUGUUUCUGCAGCGAUGCACUUUCCAUGAACUUUUCCGCCAAUUGCUGACAGCAAAUAUUAGGGUUACUAAAGAGAUAAUCAUGCAAUUUAGGAAGUCACCCCAAAAUGUUCUAGGAGACAAAUAAAGAACCUUUUUUGCUCUUAUGCCAGCAGAUAUAUUAACUGAUGACACAUAUUUACCUUUCCCACUGAUGGUGAGAUUUUCCUUGCUAGUACUUACUUUCUCUAUGGAUGCCAACCAUGUCUUCUCCAUUUUACCUUUUCUAUAUGUUCUUCUGACCAGCCAAAGACAUCCCAAAGACAUCACCAAGAGAAGAAAAGUAGCUGACUGUGAAAAUUGAGCUACCUUACUUGAGAAAGAUGAAAGGACCAGAAAAAAUGCGUAUUGCUAAGGCUAGAGAACCCACCUAUGCAUCUAGCCAGCUGUUUAAUAACAUUUGUUUGAUAUCUCUUACAUACAUAAUAAGUGACAUCAUACUUCAUUUGUUUGCUAUCUCUUACAUACAAAAUAAGUACAAACAUCCAAUACAUACAAAUUUCUACCCUUGACACACACAAAAUAAAACAACUCUCCCAGGCCAUGACUGACCAUGGAAAGUAUAAAGUUCGACACAAAAGUCUCAAGCAUCAUCCAAACUUCAUUUUCCCAAUGAACAUCAUUCACAUCUCAUUUUCCCAAUAAUGUUGUCAAGAAAAUUUUAAUAUAUAUAGUCACAAAGCAUGCCAAAUACUGAUAAACCUCAUCAGCCUAAGGAACAAUGAAAAUACACAUUAGAGCUGCCUCUAUCUUCAGAAUGGCAUGCACUUGUCACUAGCACCUCUAUUCUACAUAACCAACACCCAUGCCAAAAGUUGAUGAAAACUAUCAAAUUAAGAUGCAAGAAGAACAUCCAUUAGGNNNNNNNNNNUCUCUCUCUCUCUCUCUCUCUCUCUCUCUCUCUAUAUAUAUAUAUAUAUAUAUAUAUAUAUAUAGAAUGGGAUUCAUUUGUGACAACAUUACAAGGCCUUCCAUUUUUAAAGAUUUCACCCUCCAGAAGUUUUGCAGCAAUCAUACUUUGAAAGUAAUCACACAAAGUCCAUGCACAAGUUAAAGCUAUGAAGCACUACACGCUAAAAUUUACUGCAAAUUUUAUCAAUAAAUAACUUUUUUCCCUUCAUAAAUGUAUUUGUGCAUUUCUUAAAUUAUAACAUCCCUGUGCAACAAAACAGAAAGGGUCUCACAGGUCCAACACAAUUAUUAACCCAAACAAAAGGAAAUCUAGCUAUGACCAAACAUAAUCAAGCUCUUGAAAAAAAGUGUUAAAAACAAAACAAAACUAAUUUUGAGCCAAUCACCCAACAACUAGAAGCUACACUGAGCAACAUUCAAAACUUCUGGAGCGAAAAAGCAUAUAUAAUAUAAAAGAAGACCCAACUCAAACCUUCAUCGAUGAACUAAGGAUUAACCGGUAUGGAUGCGGUCAGACAAAUCACUCCAUCAUGCUACCAGCAUUAUCAUUUUCCUCCUCUUGAUCACACAGAUCAAGAUCAGCAAGCAGCUCCUCCAAGGGCACGGAAGGAACAUCAUCCCCGCCAGCCGUUGAAGCCAUCUCUGAUGGCUGAUAAUCUUUGUUGCGGUACAACGAGAUAUUAAAUCUCAGCUCAGGGUUCUCCUCCAAGUCCCUUAAGAACUCCUCAUACUCGGCAUUCUUCUUCUCUUCGUCAGCUCUGCUCUUGGAGGUAUUGUCCACGUCCGUGUCCAACCUCUUCAGUUUCCAAGGUCGAGGCUUUCCACUUCUGCUGCGGCGCUUCUCCUCGUAGCUCUUCUUUAUCAGAACCGCAUCUGGCAGGAUGAGGCCUUUAUACCUGUCAAUCUCGAGAUCGUUGCUAUUGGCCCCAUAGAGGUCAUAACCUAGGGCAUAAUCGCCGGGAUUCAAGAGGUGGCCGAGAUGGGUUCGGAUUGUGAAGAUGUUGUCGUUCUUUCCGAAAUCAGACACCCGGGCCACCUGGGCAUAAGCCAGGGAGUACCUCGAUCCCCCGACGGUGACCUCCGAGGACUCCACCUCGACGUCGAGCACGAUGUACUCCACAAGCUGGCGGCUGGAGAGCAGGGCCCUGAAGGGGGCCCUCCAGUACUGGCUGGCAUCGAGAAAGGCAGAGCGGAGGGUGAAGGGGUCGAGAAGGGCAACGGAGUUGGAGAUCUUGGUGCAAAUGACGAGGGGGCCGAGGUUGCCGAGGGCCUGGGCGGCCUUGGGAGGGAGACAGAUGAGGUCCUCGCGGCAGAUGGGGCAGAUCUCGACGGAGAAGGUGUGCUUGUAGUUGUAGAUGUUGCUCUUGAGGUCGUGGGAAACGAGCUGCUUGUCGGAGCGGGAGCGGACGGGGACAACGCCGGAGAUGAACUCGACGAACUUGACGGCGUGGGAGCGGCUGCCAAAGAAGAAGUCCAGGCCACGGUCGGCCUCGGCGAUGCGGAGGGCGCGGACGGCGGCGCCGUGGCGGAGGAUGAGCUGCUCGAGGAAGAAGAAGGUGCGGCGGUGGGCGACAUGCUGGCGGAGCUGGACAGCGGCGGACCACUGGUCGGGGUUGGCCUGGGCGCGGGAGCAGGCAAGGCAGAGCUGGUCGUGGAUGGUGAGCUCGACGAGGUGGGACUGCUCGAGGAUGGCGCCGUGGAGGGCCUCGCGCUGGACGCGGAGCUUGAGGCGGAGGCGCUUGGAGUGGGGCUCGGUCCAGACGAACUCGGCGUGGACGACGCGGACGAGACGGGUAAGGGGCUUGAGGCGGCGGAGGCAGAAUGCGAGGAGCUCCUUGGACUCGAGAUCGGCGCGGACCCAGGUGCGCGGGGGGUGGAGGUAGCUUCGGCACUCGGGGCAGUGGACGACGGCGGCGUGGCGGGGCAGGCCCUCGGUGAUGUCGACGCGGGAGCGGAGGCAGCGCAAGCACAUGUUGGCCGGGUUGGGGGCCAUCGCCACGCCGCAGAUGCAGCACAGCACCGUCCCCACCGUCUGCGCCGGCACGAACAUCCCCGACGCCCCCAGCUCCAUCGAUGACGGCGUCGUCUUCUCUCCUCCUCUCCUGCUAGGGUUAGGGUUAGGGUUAGGAGGACCUGAUGGAGAUCGAAUGGGUGGUCAGAUAGAUCAGGGCCGGAGGAGAAGGAAAAAAAGGGUUCUCGGGGUUUAUAAAGUCUUAAGGGGUUCGGGUUCGGGUUCGGGCUUUCGAGAAAAGACCGGACCGGCUGAGCGAAGCCAAUAAACGAAGGUGGCUCUUAGCCAGGAAUUUGCAAUUAUAGUAUUUUUGGCCCCUUUUUUUUCCGUUCCUCCUCCUCCUCUUCUACUACUUCUUCUUCUUCUUUUUAUCAAAACGGCAUUUCAAUUUCAAUAAAUCAAGUUUGAGUACAUCCUGCCAAAUCAAAAAAAAGUAAACAAUGCAACAGAUGGGAAACACCCCCUAAACUCGUCCAGAUGAUGUCCCCAGAGUGACGUGCCAUGUAUGAGGCUACCUAGUCCGCAGCUUUGUUCACCUCACGAAACACAUGACCAAUCUGAACAGCGAAUAUCUCCUGAACCAAUCUGCAAAUCUCCCGAAUCAAUGGAUGACCGUCGCCAUACCUAUCCCCUCCCCAUAUCCAGCCAAUUACCGUGGCAGAGUCUCCCUCAAUACACAAUCUGUCGACACCCAGCACACAUCUCGCAUAUCGGAUGCCCUCCUAAGCAGCCCGUAGCUUCGCCCCAAUAACAGUCAAACCAGGUGUGCUCCGACCACCAGCUGCAAUCAAUCUGCCAUAAUGGUCCCUAACAACAAAGCCUACUCCACCAGAAGCUCUAUCCAUCGCCAUACCGUCAUCAAAAUUCACCUUAAGAUAACCAGGGGGUAGGGGUACCCAAGAAAGAUAAGCAUACCUAGGCGCUGCAAUAGCAGAAAAGGUAACCCAGAUAUCCCUAGCCAACUCAGAUGAAGUCGAUAGAGUCACAGAAAAGACCUCCACUGCCUGGGUCACGGCUCCGUUCACCACAAUCCUCGGGAGCGACCCUCUCCCCUCGAACAAGCGUCCAUUCCUAUCCAGCCAUAUAUGAUAAGCUAGACAUGCAACUACUACCCCCAGCUCAGUUGUGCUAGGCCUCCUAGAAGAGUUCCUCAAGAACUAUAAUAAAUCCUCCACUGACUCCCAUCUCAGGGGUAAUGGCGCAGACAGACGGCUCCAAAUCUAUACUGCCCUCGAACAAAGGAGUAAGACAUGACAUAUAGACUCCUCGAGAUCCGGGCAUACCUUGCAAAACUAGGUCAUCCUCACCCCAUGUCUAACCAACAUGCUCUUGGUCGGGAGGCAACCUCAGACUAUCUUCCAAAGGAAGAGCGCCACACGAGGAUGCAACCUCAACCUCCAUAUCUAACCCGCAUCGAUCUGUCUGUCUGGCACCCUGCUAAUCCAAGAAUGAAGAUCUUUGGCACGGACUCUCGACCUACCCGUCGGCUCCCAAAUCAAUCUGUCUGGCUCCUCCCGUGACGGUACCGGUAACGCCAUAACCUCGCCGCUAACUGCUCUCCAAACAUCUACCGUACCAGUCCCUCACGCCACUGUCCCUCUCUUGGGACAAUCAGAUCACAAACCCUGAGUCCCUGUAGCCUGUCCGUAUCCGCCAUCAUCGGCACACGACUGAUAGGAAGCUCCAUCACCCAACUAUCCUCAGAGCAUCAAUGGAACGACCAUCGCCUACCGCCCAUCUGAUCGUCGGCAGCACCAAAGGAGCUCUGGCGCAGAUCUCCCUCCAUAUGGGUGAAUGAUGACGACGUGUGCGGGUACCAAUCAGUAGGCUCCCAUACUUGGCCCUCAUCAAAGAGGACCACAUAUUAUCAGGCUCCAGCAGUACUCUGGCUGCAUGUCGCAUCGCCAAUGCCUCCCGUCUCACCAUCAAUAAAGUCACCCCCAAACCGCCCUGCCUGAUCGGCUUACAUACCACCUCCCAAGCCAUCAAAUAAAUACCACCUCUAUGACAAUGCCUCCCCCAUAUGAAAUCCCUAAUAAGCCUUUCAAAUGAUCUCAACAAAGCCACUGGGAGAAUAGAGUUAGACAGAAGGUAUACCAAAAUGGAACUCAAAACUGACUGUGCCAGAGUGACCCUGCCCAUUGUAGAGAGGGAAUGCAUCUGCCACCCCUCCAACAUGUGUCUAAAGCUUGUCACUAGUGAGAGACAAUCCCACUGAUGGCAUACCACCUCCCAAGCCAUCAAAUGAAUAGUUGAAUACCACCUCUAUCACCAUUCCUCCUCCUCUUCAAUGGCCAUGGUGACCUCGUCCGCUACGCUAUCUCUCGUCGGUGAGUUUCUCAUUCUCUUUUCCUUGUUUGUUGAAGUCUAAAAGGUUCUUCCGAUUUUGUAUUGUUCGAUCGGUUCCUAAGGUGGCUUCGUCGCUUCGAUGCUUCAUUCCUUUUGUAUUUUCUUGGAGUUCUCUCUCCACCAACCAAUCGAAUUAGAAAGAUCCGGUUUUUAGAAACUUUGUUGACCGAAAUCCUGUAGAAGAUCAUCGGCAAAAUUACCCGAUGGCAAAAAAAAAUGUCGGACUAUUGCAUUCUCGCGUAGAAUCUCCGGAUGUCUUCUUGAUUCGGCCGUCUUGCCCGAUAGUGUGGGAGCUAUAAAGCCAUUUUCCAUGUUCUUCAAGCUGUCUCGCCUUAGCUUGUGGAAGUUUCACCCCGAAACUCCUUUCCACCAAGUUGUUCUUUCAAUCUUCAAGCCUCCCUCGUGCCCAAGAAAUUACAGAAGCAAAACAAAGUGUUAUACGUCUUGAAUUUUUCAUAUUUUUGAGUGUUUGAAUGGUUGAAUUGAGUCAAAACUUUGUUUCCUUGGCAUGCCUCUGGCGAGCUGAAACAAUAAUCUUGGGGGCCAACAUGACGUGCACCACCACCACCAUGUAGAUCAAUCCUAUCGAUGUACCCUAAUUAGAUCCCUUUUAUUAGGGAUUGAUUGUUUAUUUUCCUGCAAAAUUUCCCCCUUGAAUGGCCUGAUCUUGCCAUGGACCGCCAGGAUUUCUUUCUAUUUUUUUGACAUUAACGUAUCAAGAGAUUGCCUUCUUACGACAUGUAUAAUGAACCCAGAAUAUCAACCUAUACAAUUACCAUACAAAUAUCUAUAUUAUAGAGAAAGUCUUCCAAGUUGUAGGUAGCCAGAAUUUGAAACUUAAUUAGUCGAGUCUAAAGAUUGGAAGGUGCGAUCUUUUAAAGUCAUUUGAGAUAAGUAGAAAAUUAUUCCCAUUUUCAUUCAAAAUUUCAAAUAUCGCAAGUACAUGUUGUGCAUUUCACCUCCCACAUCCACAAAUUCAGGACUUGGGACUCAUCAGAAAAUUUAUGUUUCAGAAGUACCGAGGGAAAGCUGAGAGCAUCGAAACGUUAUACAGAAUUAGGAAGACUAAACUAAAAGCUAAGUAACGUCGAAAUAUUUAGAUGAGAGACUAUAUGUUGGGGAAGUUGAUCUCAGAAAGCUCUAGGUUCUUUCAAGUUACACAAGAAACAACGUAUUCAGGAACUGUUUAAAAAAAUUCCUAACGGCAACAGCUACCAGGAUAAUAGGAAUUCGAGCUUUAUCCUUCUGUUUCUUUUUGAUGAUCUAUUAUCUGUUUUGUUGUUAUAAAGCAUUUAUCUUAUUUCCUCUUCUUCAUUAUCCUUUCUUGGGGGUUUUAGGUGGAUCUCAUUUUGGAAAGUGAUACUAACUCCUGUAGGCCUUGGCUUAGCACUUCUUCAGCUAAAAUCAACAGGCUAGGUUUGGAACCCUUGUCGUAGCCCUCGAGAAGUUGGAAAGUACUCAUGUGGCACACCAUCCACAAGCACUCCAAAGUUUUCAUUACAUAAACAUCCAUGAAUCAAAUUCCACCAUUUAUCACAAAAGCCAAAAAUCACACACACGCAUUACCCCCAACAAGCCCAUUCGAUCCAAAAAGAUGCUUUUGCCAUAUCCUGAGUUUCUUUUGACCCCCCCUCCCUCCUACUAUUAAGCUUUAGGGUCAGCCCUCUUCUUUCGACAUAACCAUAGUCAAAAGAGUGUUUUUUCUUGUAUUUAAGGUUUUGCAUUCCAACAAACUGAAGAAAUUAGUAGGCCAUCAAAUUCAGUUGGAAAUUGGCCAGAAAAAGCGAGUAAAUCAUCAUCGAUGCUUCUCUAUCUGUGCUGCAUACAGGUACAACAAUUUUUCUACUGAUAUAUUACCUUAUGAAGUGACAGAAUCUUAUCUAGUAGUAGUAGUUAGGUGCAUGAUGCUAUCCUUGUCUCACAUAAUUGAAUUCAAGGUAUUAUUUAGAGGAAAGUACCAUUGAUGUUGGUUUAGUUUUAUGAGUUUGGAUCCUCUUUCUGAAAUAGGUUUAACAUAUUCACAGUGAUAUCAAUGUUGCACUCAGCCACUGUCCCUUGCGGGCAUUUCUCUUAUGUUGCUAUGCAGCAUGCCAUGCCCUUUCACCAGUUUAUGACGACCCCCAGCAUUCAUUUGAGUGAUGAUUUGACAUAUUUAACAAAUAAGAACAUCUAUACGUUGCAUGUCAGUGACAUGUGAGAACUGUUGAAGAAUAGGAUGGCAUUUUGAUAAAGCAGAAGACUCGUCAAACGCUGAAUGAUAAGAUAAGCCAGCUGAAUUCUGCAAUCGACAAUGUUUCUUCACGUUUGGUGUGAACAACGUGGCAACAGAACCUGCUGAAGCUGAAUCAGUAGAAGCAACAAUGUAGAAUCUGCAGUUUGGUUCAUGAAGUCAACUUUUAUAUUGUCUCCAUUCAUUAUGGCUAUUUCUAUCCUCUGUUGACAAUAUAAAUAUGCACUCAACAUGUUGCAUGCCUUGGAUUUAUAAAUUCUGCACCUGUUUUAAAACCAUGACAUUGUUCCACUAUAAGCCUGUUUUCUCCAUCUUGUGACCCCCUGAUGGAUUCCAAUAUAUACACACAUGUAUGUACAUACAUAUGCAUAUGAGGAAAUCAGAUGCCUAAUUCGUCCAAAGAAAGGCAUUUCCUUUCUUGCAGAUUAAAUUUUGGGUACCAAUUGAAAUAUCUUAAUUAAAGGUCUUGAUUGUUAUAUAUUACAAUAAAAUUAUCUUAUUGAAAGAAACAAAAAAAUGAACACCAAACCGGAAAUAGUAGCUUAAGACCCACCAUCUAAAGUUCCUGCUUGUUCCAUAUGGCUCAAAAACUUUCUAAUAUAAAGUACCCCUCCCCACAAAGAAACCACCGCCAGAAGGGGAAGGCCAGCUCUUGCAGCUAGUAAGUUAGAAGCCAAACAAAAUUAAGCAGAGCAUGCAUUAUUUUGCGCUAAGUGCAGGCAUCGCUGGAUCAACCAGACUGAUAUGAGAAUUGGGCUCUCUGUGGCCAGAAACCUGCGGCCACAGCAUGCAUCGCUCUUGUAGCUCAAGCAUGCAGUUGCCAUGCAAGCUAGUGCUACAAGGUCUGGAUGCCUCACGGAAAAAUUUUAGCUCAUGAACUGCUCAGUGUCUAACAGACGUUCCGUCAUAUCUAACAUGAUCAAUGAGAGUCAUGGAAGCUAAUUUCUAGACAAAACCAAAGGAAAUCUGAAAACAUACAUGUAAACAGAGCCCAAGAUUAAAUGUAUCAGAUAUCAUCUCGUAGAGGCGUCAUAUUUUUCUCAUCUUCAUGCAUAUCUUUUUCUCCUCUAAGCAAUUGUAGGUAGUGCCAGAAAAAUUUAAGUAGAUGCUGCAACAAACAAUAGCAAACCACAAAUAGUUUAGCAUGUCAGUUGCCUCAGAUUGCAGAUGCAUCUUUAGGCCAUCAAGCAUUCUCUAUGAGCAUAUCAUCUGAUGUAGUCCAAACAUUUGCCUAGCUCCUCAAGCAACUCCCAGCCCGAUACAAACUGUAACCUAAGAAAAUGAUACUAAUAGAAGCAGGGCGCAUUGACGUAACAAAAGGAAUACCAGCGCAUGGCAUGCGCGAGGAAUAGACUAUUAGCAUUGGGAGCUGAACACACUUCAGCAUACCACAACAGCAGCACGCACCUUAUCCCUGUAACAAGCUGGACACUUAAGGUGUGCGUCAUCAUUAGCAUCUCACUAGUAAUCAAAUUUAGACCACCGCUAACCACCUGAAAUAUUCAUACUUUGGAUAAGCAUGAAUCAACAAACGAAACAUAUAAUUAUGAGGACUUGCAGUAACAUAUCCAUGGAGUUUCUGCAUAAUUUUAACAUUGUGGCUUUCCUUCUCUUAUAUACAAACAGCCGUAAAUCUGCACUCUAGAAGCAAGGACUAGGGAAAGAAAGAAGCGAAAAGAAAAGUAAAGAAAAAAGUUGAAAAAAGGAAAAACAUUUGUAUGGUUAUGAACAUAUGGGCAAGAGCUCUGGUGAUGCCCCUUGUGAGGCUCUAGGUAUACUGAGGUGGUCAUUUACAAGGCAUAUACGCUCCCAAUUGGAUUCAAGUGUCAGUAAACCUGCCAAAUAGAAGCAAAGAAGUAUUAACGCGAGGCCUCUCCGGCAAAAGCUGCUCCGUUCUUAAAAUGGGUUUGUCUUUUUGUUUCUUCUCUGUGCCAGGAAAGGCAAGGGAUAGAGAGAGUGAUGCUGACAUAUCAUCUUCACCAUCCAUUGCAGGACCAGGGAGUUUUUCUUGGCUGCUUUUUCUGUCAGCCAAAGGGAAAAGCAAUGACAAGACUUCCUUUUCGGAUGAUUUCUUCUUGCCCCCAAGUGCUAGUUCAAGAUCUGGACUACUGGACUCUGGCACGUCUUCGUCAUCUGAAGAAAGAACAUGUAUGAAGUUCUCUGAUACAACAUUUCUGACAGGACCCGAAUCCGCUGGAAAGAAAAACUUUUCAGCGCACCUUGGGUUCUCAGUCAUCCCUGUUCCACUGCAGAAACCAUGAAUGUUUUGCUGCUCAUCAACAUAGCUAGAUAGCAAAGUAUGUAUCUGAGAUGAUAAAUUAUUAGUUGUAUUUUCAUCCCUAGAACUACUAUUAGCAUGUAUCUCGCUGCGACUCCUCAUCUUCUUGUAUUCUUUUUCAUCUUCAAGAGAAAUGAAGUUUGCUCUCUCACUCCAAAGCAUUAUUUCAUCAGUGCUCUUUGAGGGUUCACCAGAAGCACGCGUAACCGUCUGCAUGGAAGAUGAGUGUGCACGUUUCCGGCUAGGCCUUGACUCCCAGCCGAGGUGGUCGAUCUCCAUCAGAUGUUCCUGCAGCUCAUUAUCUAUACAAGCUUCAAGUUUGAUUGAUCCUUCUUUCUCCCUCAUCUUUUCACCAUUUCCUCUGCCUUCACCAUCUGUUCAUUGAGCAAGCAAAAAGAAAUUGAGCAGAAAUAUCCUGAACAAAUAAUGUAAACAUCAUUGGAAGAAAAAUCACCUUGUCCAAAAUAUGAAGAUAUUGCUUGUGAAGGCAAUGCACUGUUCAUAUUUUCUAUGCUAGUUGCAUGAAUGUGGACUGGGGUUCUGCCAUCAAUAUCACUACCAGAUUUCUCCUGCAUGCAAAUGGGUAAAGCUAUGAGGAUCUCAUGCCACAAAAGCAACUGCAAUCUAAACAUAAUGAAGGUAUAAAUUGACCGCAAAUUAACUCAUGAGAUAAUUCAAAUGUGAAUAAAUACUAGAGAUUAACACCACUUAUGAUCAGAAGAAAGUGCACGAAGCUCCUACCACUAUAAGGUCAAGGAAAGGUCAGAUGUACAUAGCUUUACCCAUGCAUGCGGUGAGGCUGUUUUCGUGCUUCAAACCCAUGAAAUCCAGGUCGCAUUGGAGCAACCUUACCUUUAUGCUAAGGCCCGCCUCAUGAUUAGAACCAACAAAUAUUUAACUAUCGUAGUCAAGUCAAAUGUUGAUUAACCGCACCCCCCCCCCCAAAAAAAAAAACACCACCACCCAAAAUAAAAAAAAGUAUCAACAUCUUUCAAUUAAAAUAUCCACAAACACCAGGUUGUUAAAAGUGAGAAGUGGUCAUAGGUGAAUUAAAUUUGGAAAAGCUAGAAUCCAACUGUCCUUGUUGAACCAAUGUUAUAUACUAGAUGAGCAUUAAAAUAUUUUGUGACAUGGCACAGGGGCGUGCAAAUUAACAAAUGACAUGAGCCUCUGAUCAGAAACCACACUCAAAUGCCAUUCCACAUUCACACAUAAACUGGCGAAUGUUCAGGGCUCAUUGGGAAAAGCAUCAUCAAACAUCUGUAACAAUGUCAAUCAGAUCUCCUAAUGCCAAACUGCAGAAUGGAUUUGAAGUGGACAUUUUGAAAACAGAAUGACAACUGCAUGAUAUUUGGACUCAGCAGCAUCUAUAAAUGUAUUGCAUGAUUCCUUUUCUUUUGAUAAAAAGUAUUUUAAAUAUAACUCAAAGAUAUGCACAAAUAUAAACACAAAAACAUACCCAUAUCCACCCAUCAAGUGUCCUUACACUCAGUUUCGGUAACAUUUGGCCAAAACUAACUGAUUUCAUCCAAUUUUAGCUAUAAUGACUGAAAUGAGCUAGUUCUCCAUUUCUUUAAACAAAUAGUCUAGAUUGUAUCAAUUUUUGAGUCGUCCCUCUUUCUUCAAUAAAAGAGAAGACUAACUCAUGGAUGAGAAACAUUACCUCUAACAAGUAUUUUCACAAGUCUUAACAUGCAACUUUUAAUUGGAGAAGUUAAAGUAAAAGGAAGUUUUCCUAAAGAUGACUUUUUAGGUUUUUUUUUUUUUGAUAGAAGACAUUUUAACCCUCUGUUAGGUUAUUUACAUGACAAAAGGGUCUCUAUGUAUUAUGUACGAGAUAAGUUCCCUAAAUACUGGAUUUGCAAGAUUUAAGUUCAGAUUAGCUAGAUAUUACCUUGAAUAAUAUAGGCAUUUAGGUGAAAUAUAUCUAAUUGUGGUCUUUCUAAAAUUUUUGAUUUUUUGUAAAGUAAAAGUUAGAUGUUGGAACUUGAUAUGAUGGUAACCAUACUAUUAUAGGUAUUCGCAUUGUUAGGUGUUUCAACAUGAUUGUUGAAAAAUUUUCGAAUGUUAUUUAGUUAUUCAUAAUUUUUUGGUUAGUUAACAAUUGAAUUUAAAAAUGUUUCAUGCAUUUACGCUUUCAGUCUAAAAACAAAAAAAAACGCUCUAGUGCACAAGAUUUCCGCCAUUACAGAGUUUGGAGAGCGUUAGAUGUAUGCAGCCUUACCCCAUCGUGUAGAGAGGCUAUUUCCAUGUUUCAAACCGAUGACACCUAGAUCACAAUGUAGAAACCUUAUUAUCGCCUCAAGGCCCACCCUCUAUUUAGCCUAAAAAUAAUAAAACCAUAAAUCCACAAUUCAAGAUCCGUCGAACUGGCAUCGGAGGACGUACUAACUGGCAAUUGGUUCGGUAUGGUAUGGAUCCAUACCUUACCAUUCUGAGAUGUACC
RNAcentral lists this long non-coding RNA (32045 nucleotides) under Phoenix dactylifera (date palm). Its description in RNAcentral is "long non-coding RNA (PDAC_LNC002800)". The record is from RNAcentral. Lineage: Eukaryota; Viridiplantae; Streptophyta; Magnoliopsida; Arecales; Arecaceae.